ACGAACGCUGGCGGCAGGCUUAACACAUGCAAGUCGAACGCCCCGCAAGGGGAGUGGCAGACGGGUGAGUAACGCGUGGGAAUCUACCUAGUUCUACGGAACAACAGUUGGAAACGACUGCUAAUACCGUAUACGCCCUACGGGGGAAAGAUUUAUCGGAAUUAGAUGAGCCCGCGUAAGAUUAGCUAGUUGGUGGGGUAAUGGCCUACCAAGGCGACGAUCUUUAGCUGGUCUGAGAGGAUGAUCAGCCACACUGGGACUGAGACACGGCCCAGACUCCUACGGGAGGCAGCAGUGGGGAAUAUUGGACAAUGGGCGCAAGCCUGAUCCAGCCAUGCCGCGUGAGUGAUGAAGGCCUUAGGGUUGUAAAGCUCUUUCACCGAUGAAGAUAAUGACGGUAGUCGGAGAAGAAGCCCCGGCUAACUUCGU
RNAcentral lists this ribosomal RNA (429 nucleotides) under uncultured bacterium. RNAcentral describes it as "bacterial SSU rRNA". It matches the Rfam family "Bacterial small subunit ribosomal RNA", at positions 29 to 506 of the family's 1533-position model. The record is from RNAcentral.